Molecule: ribosomal RNA, 385 nt
Filed under: uncultured cyanobacterium
Lineage: Bacteria; Bacillati; Cyanobacteriota
Description: bacterial SSU rRNA
Rfam family: Bacterial small subunit ribosomal RNA
Source: RNAcentral
GCCGUAGACGCGGAGGAAGGCUCUUGGGUUGUAAACCUCUUUUCUCAGGGAAGAAGCUCUGACGGUACCUGAGGAAUCAGCCUCGGCUAACUCCGUGCCAGCAGCCGCGGUAAUACGGAGGAGGCAAGCGUUAUCCGGAAUUAUUGGGCGUAAAGCGUCCGCAGGUGGCGAUUCAAGUCUGCUGUCAAAGCACGGGGCUUAACUCCGUUAAGGCAGUGGAAACUGAAUAGCUAGAGUGCCGUAGGGGUAGAGGGAAUUCCCGGUGUAGCGGUGAAAUGCGUAGAGAUCGGGAAGAACAUCGGUGGCGAAAGCGCUCUACUGGACGGCAACUGACACUCAGGGACGAAAGCUAGGGGAGCGAAUGGGAUUAGAUACCCCAGUAGUC